Molecule: ribosomal RNA, 362 nt
Filed under: uncultured organism
Description: bacterial SSU rRNA
Rfam family: Bacterial small subunit ribosomal RNA
Source: RNAcentral
GGCCUAAAACAUGCAAGUCGAACGAUUGUAGCAAUACAGUAGUGGCGCACGGGUGAGUAACAUGUGGGAAUAUGCCUUUUGGUACGGAACAACUUUUGGAAACGAAAGCUAAUACCGUAUGGUCCCUUCGGGGUAAAGAUUUAUCGCCAAAAGAGUAGCCCCCACUGGAUUAGCUAGUUGGUAAGGUAAUGGCUUACCAAGGCGACGAUCCAUAGCUGGUCUUAGAGGACGAUCAGCCACACUGGGACUGAGACACGGCCCAGACUCCUACGGGAGGCAGCAGUUAGGAAUAUUGGACAAUGGGCGCAAGCCUGAUCCAGCCAUGCCGCGUGAGUGAUGAAGGCCUUCGGGUUGUAAAGCUC